Molecule: ribosomal RNA, 482 nt
Filed under: Prevotella melaninogenica
Lineage: Bacteria; Pseudomonadati; Bacteroidota; Bacteroidia; Bacteroidales; Prevotellaceae
Description: bacterial SSU rRNA
Rfam family: Bacterial small subunit ribosomal RNA
Source: RNAcentral
GAUGAACGCUAGCUACAGGCUUAACACAUGCAAGUCGAGGGGAAACGGCAUUGAGUGCUUGCACUCUUUGGACGUCGACCGGCGCACGGGUGAGUAACGCGUAUCCAACCUUCCCAUUACUGUGGGAUAACCUGCCGAAAGGCAGACUAAUACCGCAUAGUCUUCGAUGACGGCAUCAGAUUUGAAGUAAAGAUUUAUCGGUAAUGGAUGGGGAUGCGUCUGAUUAGCUUGUUGGCGGGGUAACGGCCCACCAAGGCGACGAUCAGUAGGGGUUCUGAGAGGAAGGUCCCCCACAUUGGAACUGAGACACGGUCCAAACUCCUACGGGAGGCAGCAGUGAGGAAUAUUGGUCAAUGGACGGAAGUCUGAACCAGCCAAGUAGCGUGCAGGACGACGGCCCUAUGGGUUGUAAACUGCUUUUGUAUGGGGAUAAAGUUAGGGACGUGUCCCUAUUUGCAGGUACCAUACGAAUAUGGACAGGC